This 85-nucleotide transfer RNA is filed under the name Felis catus (domestic cat). It matches the Rfam family "tRNA". From Rfam's summary of the family: Transfer RNA (tRNA) molecules are approximately 80 nucleotides in length. Their secondary structure includes four short double-helical elements and three loops (D, anti-codon, and T loops). Further hydrogen bonds mediate the characteristic L-shaped molecular structure. tRNAs have two regions of fundamental functional importance: the anti-codon, which is responsible for specific mRNA codon recognition, and the 3' end, to which the tRNAs corresponding amino acid is attached (by aminoacyl-tRNA synthetases). tRNAs cope with the degeneracy of the genetic code in two manners: having more than one tRNA (with a specific anti-codon) for a particular amino acid; and 'wobble' base-pairing, i.e. permitting non-standard base-pairing at the 3rd anti-codon position. Lineage: Eukaryota; Metazoa; Chordata; Mammalia; Carnivora; Felidae. The record is from Rfam by way of RNAcentral.
GCCUGGGUGGCUCAGUCAGUUGAGCGUCUGACUUCAGCUCAGGUCAUGAUCUCGCGAUCUGUGGGUUCGAGCCCCGCGUCGGGCU